CAUGAGAAUGAUUGAGACGGUCAAUCCCCACACCCUCUUCGGCAUAGGUAGCCGUCAAAUAAUGCUAGUCGAGCGACGGACGAAAUGAGCUUGCUUCUCUGAUGUUAGCGUUGCGGACGGGUGAGUAACACGUGGAUAACCUACCUAUAAGACUGGGAUAACUUCGGGAAACCGGAGCUAAUACCGGAUAACUAUUCUUGAACCGUCACUUGGUCUCAAAAGUGAAAGACGGUCUUGCUAGUCACUUAUAGAUGGAUCACGCGCUGUCAUUAGCUAGUUGGUAAGGUUCUUAACGUUGCUUACCAAGGCAACGAUGCAUAGCUCCACCGCUUGAGAGGGUGAUCGGCCAUUCACUGGAACUGAGACUUACGGUCCAGACUCCCUACGCGGAGUGCAGCAGUAGGGAAUCUUCAGCGCUAAUGGGCGAAAGCCUGACGGAGCAACGCCGCGUGAGUGAUGAAGGUCUUCGGAUCGUAAAACUCUGUUAUUAGGGUAACGAAUCAUAUGUGAUAAGUACACUGUCGCACAUCAUUGACGGUACCUAAUCAGAAAGCCACGGCUAACUACGUGCCAGCAGCCGCGGUAAUACGUAUCGGUGCGCAUUUCAGCGUUACUCCUGGAAUUCCAUUGGGCGUAAAGCGCGCGUAGGCGGUUUUUUAAGUCUGAUGUGAAAGCCCACGGCUCAACCGUGGAGGGUCAUUGGAAACUUGGAAAACCGCCUAUGAGUGCAGAAGAGGAAAGUGGAAUUCCAUGUGUAGCGGUGAAAUGCGCAGAGAUAUGGAGGAACACGGCAGCUGGCACGUAGAUAGCCGUGACUUUCUGGUCUGUAACUGACGCUGAUGUGCGAAAGCGUGGGGAUCAAACAGGAUUAGAUACCCUGGUAACAGAGUUCCACGAUCCGUAGAACUUGAUGAGUCACGCUAAGUUGUUCAGGCAGGUUUCCGCCCCUUAGUGCUGCAGCUAACGCACUUAAGCACUCCGCCUGGGGAGUCACGACCGCAAGUUGAAACUCAAAGGAAUUGACGAGGACCCGCACAAGCGGUGGAGCUAUGCUUGGUUUAAUUCGAAGCAACGCGAAGAACCUUACCAAAUACCUAAUGACAUCGCUUUGACAACUCUUAGUGAGAGUUAGACAGUCUUUCCCCUUCGGGGACAAAGUGACAGUUGUUGCAUUGUUGUUCGGUAUCAGCUCCGUGUUCUUGAAGUUAUCCCAGUGUUAUAGGUAGGUUAAGUCCACCUGUUACUCACCCGAGCGCAACCCUUACAGCUUAGUUGCCAUCUCAUUUAGCUUUGGCACACUCUUAGUUGACUUGCCGUGUAACAAACCCGAAGAGGGUGUGGGGAUUGACCGUCUCAAUCAUUCUCAUG
RNAcentral lists this ribosomal RNA (1368 nucleotides) under Staphylococcus aureus. Its description in RNAcentral is "bacterial SSU rRNA". It matches the Rfam family "Bacterial small subunit ribosomal RNA", at positions 1 to 1206 of the family's 1533-position model. The record is from RNAcentral. Lineage: Bacteria; Bacillati; Bacillota; Bacilli; Caryophanales; Staphylococcaceae.